AGUGAACGCUGGCGGUAGGCCUAACACAUGCAAGUCGAACGGCAGCACAGUAAGAGCUUGCUCUUACGGGUGGCGAGUGGCGGACGGGUGAGGAAUACAUCGGAAUCUACUUUUUCGUGGGGGAUAACGUAGGGAAACUUACGCUAAUACCGCAUACGACCUACGGGUGAAAGCAGGGGAUCUUCGGACCUUGCGCGAUUGAAUGAGCCGAUGUCGGAUUAGCUAGUUGGCGGGGUAAAGGCCCACCAAGGCGACGAUCCGUAGCUGGUCUGAGAGGAUGAUCAGCCACACUGGAGCUGAGACACGGUCCAGACUCCUACGGGAGGCAGCAGUGGGGAAUAUUGGACAGUGGGCGCAAGCCUGAUCCAGCCAUAGCGCGUGAGUGAAGAAGGCCUUCGGGUUGUAAAGCCCUUUUGUUGGGAAAGAAAAGCAGCAGGUUAAUACCCCGCUGUUCUGACGGUACCCAAAGAAUAAGCACCGGCUAACUUCGU
RNAcentral lists this ribosomal RNA (491 nucleotides) under uncultured bacterium. RNAcentral describes it as "partial 16S ribosomal RNA". It matches the Rfam family "Bacterial small subunit ribosomal RNA", at positions 29 to 506 of the family's 1533-position model. The record is from RNAcentral.